AAACCAACAGGGAUUGCCCCAGUAACGGCGAGUGAAGCGGCAACAGCUCAAAUUUGAAAUCUGGCCCCAGGCCCGAGUUGUAAUUUGCAGAGGAUGCUUUUGGCGCGGUGCCUUCCGAGUUCCCUGGAACGGGACGCCAUAGAGGGUGAGAGCCCCGUACGGUUGGACACCAAGCCUUUGUAAAGCUCCUUCGACGAGUCGAGUAGUUUGGGAAUGCUGCUCUAAAUGGGAGGUACAUUUCUUCUAAAGCUAAAUAUUGGCCAGAGACCGAUAGCGCACAAGUAGAGUGAUCGAAAGAUGAAAAGCACUUUGAAAAGAGGGUUAAACAGCACGUGAAAUUGUUAAAAGGGAAGCGCUUGUGACCAGACUUGCGUCCGGUGAAUCACCCAGCUCUCGCGGCUGGGGCACUUCGCCGGCACAGGCCAGCAUCAGCUUGCCGUCGGGGACAAAAGCUUCAGGAACGUGGCUCCUCUCGGGGAGUGUUAUAGCCUGUUGCACAAUACCCUUCGGCGGGCUGAGGUACGCGCUCCGCAAGGAUGCUGGCGUAAUGGUCAUCAGCGAC
RNAcentral lists this ribosomal RNA (562 nucleotides) under uncultured fungus. RNAcentral's name for it is "eukaryotic LSU rRNA". It matches the Rfam family "Eukaryotic large subunit ribosomal RNA", at positions 62 to 648 of the family's 3401-position model. Lineage: Eukaryota; Fungi. The record is from RNAcentral.